RNAcentral lists this transfer RNA (82 nucleotides) under Bacteroidota bacterium. RNAcentral describes it as "Bacteroidetes bacterium (groundwater metagenome) tRNA-Leu". It matches the Rfam family "tRNA". Rfam says of the family: Transfer RNA (tRNA) molecules are approximately 80 nucleotides in length. Their secondary structure includes four short double-helical elements and three loops (D, anti-codon, and T loops). The record is from RNAcentral. Lineage: Bacteria; Pseudomonadati; Bacteroidota.
GGGCGAGUGGCGAAACUGGCAGACGCAACGGUUUUAGGAGCCGUUGGGGAAACCCGUGGAGGUUCGACUCCUCUCUCGCCCA